RNAcentral lists this ribosomal RNA (253 nucleotides) under uncultured bacterium. RNAcentral's name for it is "partial 16S ribosomal RNA". It matches the Rfam family "Bacterial small subunit ribosomal RNA", at positions 524 to 776 of the family's 1533-position model. The record is from RNAcentral.
UACGUAGGGGGCGAGCGUUGUCCGGAUUUAUUGGGCGUAAAGAGCGUGUAGGCGGUUCGGUAAGUCUGUCGUGAAAUCCUGAGGCUCAACCUCGGGCGUGCGAUGGAUACUGCCGGGCUAGAGGGUGGUAGAGGCGAGUGGAAUUCCCGGUGUAGCGGUGAAAUGCGCAGAUAUCAGGAGGAACACCGGUGGCGAAGGCGGGUCUCUGGGCCGAAACUGACGCUGAGGAGCGAAAGCGUGGGGAGCGAACAGG